RNAcentral lists this long non-coding RNA (8308 nucleotides) under Lactuca sativa (garden lettuce). RNAcentral's name for it is "long non-coding RNA (LSAT_LNC008828)". Lineage: Eukaryota; Viridiplantae; Streptophyta; Magnoliopsida; Asterales; Asteraceae. The record is from RNAcentral.
GUAGUGAUAGGGGUAUGAACUCACUUGAAAAAGGAGUCGAGAGAGAAGCAACAAAACCCGGAGCCCUAGCCUCCUUUUUAUAGUGUUGGGAGGCACCACGAACAUAGUGCAUUCCUUUAUUGAACGCAGCACGUUCUCCUUGCGAGGUCGGCACUUACGUAUUUUCCUCUGAUGGACGAUGGGAUGGCUAUGGUCGAAGAACGCAGGGCGUUCCUUCUUGGACCAGCCUCGGAUUUUGUGCCCCGAACUUGUAAAAUUUGUAACUUUGGCGUACGAGCUCCGAUUUCAACGUUCUUUAUAUCCACACGUAGGUGAGAAAAUUCUUUACAACUCUCGUUUAGACUCCGUCAUCUAAUUCUGACUUUACUUUUAAUAAUAUACUUUUAACAGGCCGGGACUGGAAAAGUCCGUUAAAAAUCCAUAACUUCUUCAUUCGAUGCCCGUUUUCGGCAGUCUUUUUACCGUUUUAUUACCGUUGUCGAGAUCUUUGAUUCUCGUUUUGGUCGCGUUGGCUAAAAGUCGCUCGAGAUCUAUUUCGAGUUUUUAGCUGUCUACCGCUAUGUCCGGAACUUCGUAAAAUCAUAACUUCCUCAUAUGAAGUCAGAUUUGGGUGUUCUUUUUAUGUAUGUUUACGGUUUUGGGAUAUCUAUGAUUUUCAUUUUGAUACUUAAGGCCAAAAAGUAUUUUAUUGGAAUUUCAUAUUUUAUACUUAAUAGUGUUUUACCGGUAUUGUCGCGGAUCUUCGAUUGGUCAUAACUUCUUCGUUAUAACUCGGAUUUUUGUGUUCUUUAUAUUUUUGGAAACCUUGUUAUGAUAUCUACCACUUAGUAUACUCAAACUGAGCUUUUUGAACAUAUCAUUUUUGACCUGAAUUUGACUGGUGUUACAUUAUCCCCCCGUUAGAGAGAAUUUCGUCCCGAAAUUCGCAUUUUGACUGGAACGUCAAAGGUCGAGGAAAGGUGAAUGUACUUUUGUUCCAUUUGAUCUUCUUGUUCUUUAGUGAAUCCGGAUCCUAGCAUGGGUAUUCCAGCGACCUUCAUUAUUCUGUCAGUUGUUUUGACCGGUAGAGGUCGUGUGGAUUUGGGUUUAUUUGUCUAUGUUCAUCUAAAUGUUAGCAUUGAUCACUCGUAAUAUAGGUCAGCUUUGUCUUGAAUUUCAUGGCUGAAUUCAUACCUGGUGCAUCUAUCAUCUCCUUGCGUAUACAAGUUGUAUAUACACUUUGCAGCGAUAUGUUAACCGUAUUCAUUCUUAGCCUCUGUGUUUGAACUUGACUCACUGUACACGUGCUUAUUCCUAAGUGGUCUAUCGGGAAUACUUCGGGUAGGUUGUAAAAGAGAUAGUACUCCUCACAUGAGUGCCACAUGAUUUUGAAACGAGAGAUGAUUUGGAAGUUGUGUCGGGUUAGUCGUUAUAGGUUAGAAGAGUUUCAUUAGCCGGUGGUUAACGCAAAGGGUCUUUUCAUAGCACAUGCAAUUGGUAUGGUGAAGACCAAGCCAAUCCAUUUCUAGUAGCUAUUUGGGAACUUCUUAUCGUAACAAUUAUGAAGUCCAUCAGGAAAAGUGUUCGUUAGUGGGAUAGUGCAUUCUACAUAUGUGUUUUCAUUGCUUUUAGUCUAUCUUUGUUAUUACUACUAUGAAGGUUUUGCUUAAUGAUUGGGUGUUUGUUUGAGUAUAUUUUAAAAUUUGUGACUCACGGAACUCUUCUCCACUCCUAUUAUCAGAUGGAACUCUUCUCCACUCCUAUUGUGAAUACUCGGCCUCCUCCACCAACAUUCCUGUUGUUUGCUUUCGGGCAGUCCGUUCGGAAGUGCCCCGUUGCUCCGCACUCAUAACAAGUACGACCCACUCUGACAUUCGAGGCUGGAGCGGUCGGUGGGGUGGGUUCUCGGCAAAAGUGGACAAUAUGUCCCUUCCCGUUGCAUCUUGUGCACUUCAUCUCACGGCAGGGCCCGUGGUGAGGAAUGUUGCAUCUGUUGCACCUCGGUAAGUUGCCAUUGUACGGCUUUGUGGGUGUAGGGGUGGUAGGAACAGUAAUCAGCGUGAGUUGUCACUAUUUGUUUUCUUUUAGGGUUCUCUUGCAGGGUUUGCCCCUUCCUCUUGUUCCAGGGUUUCCUUUGAUCCUUUAUCUCCUUGGGUGGGUCAGAAGCAGUUGUGAUGGUACCCUGUUUGACUCCAUGAUGGAUCAAACGUUGAGCCAAGCGCUUCACGCUGUCAAACGUGAUUGGGUUGGAAGCCAGGACAUGCCCUUGGAUCUAGGGUGCCAACCCCCAAAUGUACCUCUCCACUUUCUUUGGUUUCGGGUUUACCAUGCAUGGGCACAAGGCUAACAAAUCACUGAACCUGGCCAUGUAAGCGACUAGGUCCGAUCUGGUCAUCCUUAGGUUCCAUAACUCAUGCUCUAACUUUUGGAUUUCUCCCCUUGGGCAGUAUUCUUCCAGCAUCAAGAGUUUGAGAUGUUCCAAGCUCAUGGCAUUUGCAACUGGGAGGGAUAGAGCUUUUACAUGGCUCUUCCACUAGGUGAGGGCUCGAUCAGUGAAAGUGCAAGCAACGAACUUGACUUUGCUUGCUCCCUGGCAUGAACAUAUCUCGAAGACCGUCUCGGUCUUUUUGAUCCAUUGCAUAAGUGCAAUGACUCCUCUAAUUCCAAUGAACAUCUUCGGCUUUGCGUUUGAGAAUUCCUUGUAGGUGCAUUCCCUGACAUGACCAUGACCAGUGCCAUGGUUCAGAUGAUUUGUACUAUUUCCGGUCCAUCCAGCGCCGUUAGAGUUUAUUUGAGACAGUGCAGCUGCUACUGUUGUGGUGAUAGCAACCUGCACCAUAUUGGGUUCCUAUUGGGGAGGUGGUGGCGGUGGCGUUGGUAUUGUGUUGUUUACCCUGCGAGCAGAUCUGCGAGGAGGCAUCUUGCCGCUAAAGAAUUUAACAAUGAAAGACAAUAAGUCUUUGAUGAUUUGAAAGUCGAGUAUCAAUAGACUAAUCGUUUUAGAGUCUUCAUGUGUUGCGAUUCGACUUAAGAGGCGAUUUGUAUUCAAUUUAUGACAAAAGUUUAUAUGAAAGAUAAACCAUAAAUUUCGAGUGAUACGUAACGAAGUAUAAUGCAAGGCAAAUACUUAUAUAUAUUUUAAUAUAUAUCCGAUACAUCAUGAUUGUUGUAAAAAUUGGACCUUUCUAAAGGUCUUUAGUAGAGAAAGUGUAAUAAAAGUAAAACAUUUAGCCUCAUUCCUAGUCUAUAACAAAAUUUGGGACUUCUUGAGAGAUCCUGGUUUGGAUUUGGAUGGCCGACAUUCUAACUUGUACAUAUGCCUUUCCUGUACCAUCUGAUGAUCUCGCGUCUCUCUAACUUCUGCUUAGGAUGCCGCCAGUUCUUUCUGCAAGAAGUUCACAUGUUCCCUUGUUGCGUUAUGAAUGACUUCCGGGUUUCGAAGAUGAAAAGCGUUGACUCCAGUGGUAGCUUCAUUCUGCAUAACGCGAUCGAUGAUAGCUCUUCCUUGUUUGGUGUUACGAGAAACACGACGGACCAGUACGGGAAGCGCCCUAUCUACUGAACCAACUUCUAGAUUGUAGAAGCUUCGGUCUCCUAGGUAGAGGUGAUUCUGACCUUGUUCCUCACUCCACAUGUCUAAGUUUACGGCCCACAGAGGCGUCGGGCCUUGAAAGUUCUGACGAGGGUUAGGGUUCUUAAUAACUUGGGGUGGAUUGUAAACGUUUGAUCCCGAAUCAUCAUCCUCGGGAAAGUCUUCAGCAAAAUCAUCGUCUAAGGGGAUUGCAGGCUCUUCUUCUGGUUUGGCGGCGAGCCAACCUGCAUUUCCCUGGUUAGGAAAGUACGGAUCUUCGGGAGGGUGGAAUCCAUCCAUUGUUAUCUAAGCGAGAAUAGGGAUAUGAGAAUUGUCUAGAAGUUAAAACAUGUAAAUCUAAACAUGUAGGUUAAACUAUUGCAUUUACAAACUACUCCUAUAGUAUCCUAAAUGUUAUGUUUGAUUCUAUGGUUUAUAAGUUUGGUAAGUUUUAGACUUAUUGUCCACUGUAGUUAUCCCCUGGCAUAUGAUGGUCGGCUCUCGGAUAAAUAUAGUUGAUCAGGCUAUAUUCGUCCCAGCCCCGAUUACAUGCCCAAGGCAUACCUGUAAUGCACAACUCAUCUAUAAUACUUCUAUGUUGUUUUCAUUAUGAUACUGAUCCUGUUAUGUAAAGUAUGCAUGUACACUUUUGUAAAAACUUAUCUUAAAAAGUAUAACUCUUAGUCAGAGUGUUUUUACCCAGUUGUGUUUAUAGCUGUAUAUCAAAAAUGGUUUUGAUGUACUUAGUUCACUUUAAACAAUGCUCUGAUAUCAAUCUGUCAUACCCCUAAACCUGAACGGUGGAAACGUUCAGUGGCGGAGGACGUCAUGUGCAGUAUCAUAACAAUUGAAUAGUAAAGAAAGUACACACCACCAUAACAUAUAUUUGAAAAGUUUACAUGAUUGUAUCUAUUACAUGUUUAAAAGUCAAAUACAAUAUGAUGAAUUCCAAAAUAUGAUAUUAACGCCAAAGCGUUAAUCCCCAAAAGUAGUUGCUAACCUUGAUUAACGGUUAAUGAGAAUACAAGUAAUAUGUGUCAACAAUUAAGUUGGUGAGUUCAUAAGUAGUGAUUUGAGUAAAUGUAUGCCAUUCGAAAGUUCAUGUAUGUUUUCCAGAAAAUCCGAUAUUUUCUUAAAAAAUGAGUCAUGAGUUGUUAUGUGUAUGAAAUGAAUGUAUUGAACCAGAAAAAUCCUAUAUUUUCCUGAAAGUGAGGAGCAGUCCUAAAUGUCGAAGACUGUAACUUGUAAGCAAAUAUGUCAUGUAACGACCGAAAAAAAAUUCCAACCAAUUUAAAUUUUUCAAAAACAACCCAUUUCAUUAAAUUAUUACAAAAAGGUUUUCAAUACAAUUUAUUUAGAGUAUUCCCAGAAUCACAUCACAACAUAAACAUGAGGAGUGGUACGAUCACGCCUUCGCUUUGCCACAGUCUCAUGAAGAACCUGAAAAACAUUAAACCACAACUGUAAGCCCGAAAGCUUAGUGAGCUAUCCCCAAAAUACCAACCACACAUACGCCCUUCCAGGCUAUGACCUUCUGGUCCAAAUCAUAAUGCCUUCCGGCCCAUAACAUAGUGCCUUCCGGCCCAUAUCAUACAUAGCAUACAUAACAUAACAGAACACAGAACAGCCAUGCACUUCGGGUCUACUGUGAGACUGGUCCGCCGCGCCGGCCAACAGUCCACCUGGUCCACCCUCUGAAUCUAGCCAUAUACAUCGAGUCUGCAAUGUGAUUGGUCCACCCGCACCGGGCCUUCAAUCCACCUGGUCCACUCUCUGAGUCUACAGUAUGACUGGUCCGCCCGCACCGGGCCUUUAGUNNNNNNNNNNNNNNNNNNNNNNNNNNNNNNNNNNNNNNNNNNNNNNNNNNNNNNNNNNNNNNNNNNNNNNNNNNNNNNNNNNNNNCCUCUUGGGGCCUACAGCCUAUCCGGACCGCUCGAUGGGCCUUCGGGACAACCGGUCCGCCCUGGGUAUCUUGGCCUACAGCACAAAGCAGGACCCGCCUCAACCCAACUCCAGUCCAAACAACCAUGUGCACAUAAACAUACAAUCAUAUAAGCAUUCAUAGUCAACAAGCCGAUCAAACAGAUCACAUAACAUAUCAUCAUCCUAACCAGGAUACCGACCUAACCGGUCACUAGCAUAGCAUCACCCUACAUAUCAGGGAACCGACCUUAACCAGGUCUCUAACAUAUACCAUCCUAGCUACCAGGAUGCAAACAUAUCAAAGCAAUAACAUAACAACAAAUAUCCGUAUCUCAAUCCGAUAAAGGGCCGGCCUUGGUGCCUUCGACCCUAUCGAUAUAGUGAGGAUAACUCACCUCGCACUGCCAAAACUCUGAACUGAGGAAGCAGAUUCUCGAAUCACCGACUCACCGAAAUCCCAAACUAGCCAACAUAGCACAAAUAAACAUUAGGCCAAGCACAAUACUCUUCUAAGGGUAAAUUAACCAUUUUACCCCUAACUCAAUCCGACCCAACACUAGGUAAGCUCCCAAGCCCACCAAUGGCCCAAAGUCCAGAAGUCCAAAACAAAACCCAUUAGUGGCCCAAUUUACUAAAUUGGGCCCACCUUACCAAAUGGGCCUAAACUCAUUAUCCAUAACAACCAAUGGGCCCAAAAGACUCUAUCCAUAAUGUCCAGUUACGGCCCAAAAUCCAGCAACUCAAAUAACAGCCCAAACCUUAAGGCCCAAAAUGAAAACCAAACAGAGGGAGUACGCUGGGCGUACACGCUGAUUCGCAACAGGGGAUCGGGCACUGACUCGCUACGCGGGGCGUACUCACAUGUUACGCGGGGCGUAACUUCGCUACUCAAUAAGUCCUUAUAACUUCUUAAUGGCUUAAGCUCUUAAGCCCAAACUUCAGAUCCCUAGGCCAAACAUGCCUAAGAUUCAUAAAGUCUCAAACUUUAUUACUUGGGACGUCCAAAAGCUCUUAAUCUAAGGUCUUAAUCCUUUAAGACCUAUAUAUCUCACACAUGGAACAACUACAGCCGUUGGGACCUCAUUUUUCUCACUCAAGACCUCUCCAAAGGUCUGAAAGGACAGAUAAUCUCGGCCAACACAAAGCUUUAAUCAAGAUGAGAACUUUGGGACAAGAAAGAUGCUAAAACUUCACAAUACUUAGAUCUAUGCAAAAUAAAUGGCAAGCAAGAAGCUUUAUACCUCAAAUAAGCUCCAAAGGAUGAUAUCUCUUCAGAUCUACAAGCCCCAAUCGUUCCUUUCCUUCUUUGAAAACUUCUCCUUUCUUCUUCUAGCUUUUCUUUUGCCAAAAUGAGCUUUCCAAGGCCAAACACACCCAACAAUGGAGGGAAUACGGGUUUCUAGGGUUUCUGAGCUUAAGGGUGAGUUUAAGGAGGCUAGGGUAUGAACCAACAUGUUCCUUAUAUAGUGGCUGACCCUAAAUUUAGGGUUUUAGAACUCUGAGAGUAUGCUGGGCGUACCUCUAGUAUGCUGGGCGUACUCAGCCUUGCACCCGCGUCCAUAUACGCCUUACGCUGGGCGUAAUCCCAGCUUACGCUGGGCGACUCGGCAAGUUCCCAAUUUCAUACUUGCCCCUCAUUUUCCACUUUUCCCACAAGAUGACCAAACUAUCAUUUCUCUUAAAUCCCGGGGACUCACAAUUAGGUACUCUCAGGAACUGGGCGUUACAUGUCAUGCUUAAAAUAAUGAUGUAUAGUUCUAUUAUUAAAAUAAUAAAACCACUGAAAGAUAUGUUUAAAUCUCCUGAACGUGGUAAUAAUAUCCUACUAUGACUACUUAAUACAAACAAGUUAUGUAAAAGCAAUCAUAAAGAUACUACUCCAUGGGUGUGUUCAAUAAAUGUAUUACUAGGUGCAUGAGUCAUUGUUUCCGCGUUGCAAGUCUCUCAUAACCAUACUUGACGUAGUACCAAAUGUUGACAUUAGUCACCCUGGGUCGAUUGUAGCUAACAGUCAGGGUGCGGAGUCGUCAGCCCCGUAUAGAAGUGACUUUUGUUUGAUACUAAACAAAUCCUUUUGCCUCACAUGAUUGCUAACAACGAGUUCACGAGUAAUAUGAUGAAAACUCUUUUGACAAUUCAAGAUAACAAUUAAGUCACGUAUUCAAAAGUGUGUUUGUUUCUUACUAAAAUGAUUACCCUUUCUACACUGUUGACAAAGGCAUAAUAAUGAUUUGUAUAUUCUUGUAAAUAUAAAACGUUGUAGUUGAAAUGUUUGCUCUUGAUAUGAUAUAGUAUGCACAUUUAUAAAACAUAUUUCUAUUUAUAAAUCAUGUAGUACCCUAAAAGAGUAAAGUUGUGUUUGUGAAGUGUUUUACAUGUUAACGACUUCAUAUGAUAGUAUAACAAUAGCAUGAAAAGUAUAGCAAAAUAUUGGUGUUUCACACGGUUUUAGUCGUGUGUUUACUUGUACCCCCCCACCCCUUAAAACUGUUUAAAAGCAUUUGAAAAUGUAGUGAUAGGGGUAUGAACUCACUUGAAAAAGGAGUUGAGAGAGAAGCAACAAAACCCAAAGCCCUAGCCUCCUUUUUAUAGUGUUGGGAGGCACCACGAACACAGUGCAUUCCUUUAUUGAACGCAACGCGUUCUCCUUGUGAGGUCGGCACUUACGUAUUUUCCUCUGAUGGACGAUGGGAUGGCUCUGGUCGAAGAACGCAGGGCGUUCCUUCUUGGACCAGCCUCGGAUUUUGUGCCCCGAACUUGUAAAAUUUGUAACUUUGGCGUACGAGCUCCGAUUUCAACGUUCUUUAUAUCCACACGUAGGUGAGAAAAUUCUUU